CCUACGGGUGGCAGCAGUAGGGAAUCUUCCACAAUGGGCGAAAGCCUGAUGGAGCAACGCCGCGUGGGUGAAGAAGGUCUUCGGAUCGUAAAACCCUGUUGUUAGAGAAGAAAGUUCGUGAGAGUAACUGUUCACGUUUCGACGGUAUCUAACCAGAAAGCCACGGCUAACUACGUGCCAGCAGCCGCGGUAAUACGUAGGUGGCAAGCGUUAUCCGGAUUUAUUGGGCGUAAAGGGAACGCAGGCGGUUUUUUAAGUCUGAUGUGAAAGCCUUCGGCUUAACCGGAGAAGUGCAUUGGACACUGGGAGACGUGAGUGCAGAAGAGGAGAGUGGAACUCCAUGUGUAGCGGUGAAAUGCGUAGAUAUAUGGAAGAACACCAGUGGCGAAAGCGGCUCUCUGGUCUGUAACUGACGCUGAGGUUCGAAAGCGUGGGUAGCAAACAGGAUUAGAUACCCCAGUAGUC
RNAcentral lists this ribosomal RNA (465 nucleotides) under uncultured bacterium. RNAcentral's name for it is "partial 16S ribosomal RNA". It matches the Rfam family "Bacterial small subunit ribosomal RNA", at positions 338 to 795 of the family's 1533-position model. The record is from RNAcentral.